This 201-nucleotide non-coding RNA is filed under the name Enterococcus dispar. RNAcentral's name for it is "T-box sequence". It matches the Rfam family "T-box leader". From Rfam's summary of the family: Uncharged tRNA acts as the effector for transcription antitermination of genes in the T-box leader family. T-boxes are found upstream of many aminoacyl-tRNA synthetase genes and some amino acid biosynthetic genes usually in Gram-positive bacteria. Lineage: Bacteria; Bacillati; Bacillota; Bacilli; Lactobacillales; Enterococcaceae. The record is from RNAcentral.
AUGAUGACUGUGAUGGAAACACAGUAGGAUAAUAGCCCCUGUUUAAGAGAGCUGGUGGAGGUGCAAACCAGUACACGCUAUUGUGUGAAUUACAUUUCCGGAGUCUUGGCGUAAAGCCACGCGACAGCGUUAAAUGUUUGAGUGAUAUGUUUUAUCUUAAAACAUAUAAUUUGGGUGGUACCGCGAAUUUUCGUCCCUUGG